GAUGAACGCUAGCUACAGGCUUAACACAUGCAAGUCGAGGGGUCUUGAUAGAGCUUGCUCUUGAUAGACGACCGGCGCACGGGUGAGUAACGCGUAUCCAACCUGCCCUUCAUAUUGGGAUAGCCUUCCGAAAGGGAGAUUAAUACCGAAUAACAUGUAAAAGUUGCAUGAUCUUUACAUGAAAGCUCCGGCGAUGAAGGAUGGGGAUGCGUUUCAUUAGGUAGUAGGCGGGGUAACGGCCCACCUAGCCAACGAUGAAUAGGGGUUCUGAGAGGAAGGUCCCCCACACUGGAACUGAGACACGGUCCAG
This 310-nucleotide ribosomal RNA is filed under the name uncultured bacterium. RNAcentral's name for it is "bacterial SSU rRNA". It matches the Rfam family "Bacterial small subunit ribosomal RNA", at positions 28 to 334 of the family's 1533-position model. The record is from RNAcentral.